GAGAAUUUUGAUCUUUGCUUUUGUUUAGUAUUACAGAGAAGAUUAGCAUGACCCCUGCGCAAGGAUGACACGCAAAUUCGUGAAGCGUUUCAUAUUUUU
This 99-nucleotide small nuclear RNA is filed under the name Alligator mississippiensis (American alligator). Lineage: Eukaryota; Metazoa; Chordata; Crocodylia; Alligatoridae. The record is from RNAcentral.